UACGUAGGCAGCAAGCGUUGUUCGGAAUUACUGGGCGUAAAGAGUGUGUAGGCGGUGCUCCAAGUCUGGUGUGAAAUCUCCCGGCUUAACUGGGAGGGUGCAUUAGAAACUGGAAUGCUAGAGGAUGGGAGAGGUAAGCGGAAUUCCUGGUGUAGCGGUGAAAUGCGUAGAUAUCAGGAGGAACACCGGUGGCGAAGGCGGGUCUCUGGGCCGAAACUGACGCUGAGGAGCGAAAGCGUGGGGAGCGAACAGG
This 253-nucleotide ribosomal RNA is filed under the name uncultured bacterium. RNAcentral's name for it is "partial 16S ribosomal RNA". It matches the Rfam family "Bacterial small subunit ribosomal RNA", at positions 524 to 776 of the family's 1533-position model. The record is from RNAcentral.